ACUUGAAACACCAGUUCCCGUACUAUCAUCGAACUUAAGCAACCUCGAGCCUAGUCAGUUCCUGGAUGGGUGACUACUUGGGAAUACCAGGAGCUGCAA
This is a non-coding RNA of Acanthosepion pharaonis, 99 nucleotides long. NCBI's taxonomy places the organism in Eukaryota, Metazoa, Mollusca, Cephalopoda, Sepiida, Sepiidae. The record is from the annotation of a GenBank genome assembly.